UGUCCUAAUCUAGCAAACACUAUUUGCAUAGAUAGCACCAAAGUUCCUAAGUACUAUUUGGAUCUGCCACUGUGAACAGUCACAGGCAUUUGCAAUAUUCAACAUGAUGCCAUGGUGUGGCAGCUUCCUCAUGGAUGUGUAUGACUGAUUGGUUUUCCCUGAACUUUGGAAGCCAUGGAAAAAUGUUACGUUGGAGGAAGACGAUUAAAGAAGACGACACAAGCUAGAAAUCAUUUAACCAGCUAGGAGAAUCAUUUUCAUCUAUUUUGGAUUCAAUGUAAUUU
Long non-coding RNA from Bos indicus x Bos taurus (hybrid cattle), 284 nucleotides. The record is from Ensembl. NCBI's taxonomy places the organism in Eukaryota, Metazoa, Chordata, Mammalia, Artiodactyla, Bovidae.